CGGGUUUGUUAUUUUAAUGAAAAAGUACAAGGCGCUAGAUGAAAAAAGGGGGCGGGAUUCCAAUUUUCCAGUUCUUUGAUAUUGAAAUUUCUUUCACCUUUCCCUCAAAAAAUUCUUCACCCUAAGUCAGAAUAUCGCAAAUGUCGAUACCCACCAUUGCUUCCCCAUCUUCUCCUCUGGUGACUGCAUCUCCCUAUUCGACGCCGUCUGGCUCUCCUUUCCAUCUCCAACUUCAUAUCUUCCUUUCUUUUAAAACUUAGGGGUUUCUGCUAUUUGGUUCAAGUUAUGAAUUUCUAGGGUUCUUUCUGGAAUUGAACAAGAAGAGAAAAUUUUGGCGAUCUGCUCUAGUGCAAAUUCAAGCGACCGCAAUUGAACGUUGUUCACUAGAAGGUGAUGACAAUGGAAAUUACUUGACCGUCUUCCUCCCAAACCCCCCUUCUUUUGAGAUUAAACAUCACGAGGUUGAAAUUCUAAAGAAAUGGUUGGACAGGUCAACCCGAAGAAUACCUGGACCGAGUUUUUUACUAUGAUGCAGUGAUGAAUGAGGAAGCUUCAAAUGUUAAGGGACUUCGGUGGAAAAAAUUAAGCCAAGUGAAUGACAUCUUUAUUUACUUUAUUUUGCUAGAUGAAUAAACAUUUGAUUAGUUAUUUAUUUGUAUUUUUUGAAUUUGUGAGGUUUAGAAACUUGCUAAUGCAAGAGGAUGUAAUGAUGAAUUAUUAUUUUUGAAAUAACAGAAUUCAAUCAAUAUUUGUUCCUUAA
This is a long non-coding RNA of Spinacia oleracea (spinach), 760 nucleotides long. RefSeq lists it as uncharacterized. Lineage: Eukaryota; Viridiplantae; Streptophyta; Magnoliopsida; Caryophyllales; Amaranthaceae. The record is from RefSeq and is a predicted model, not a curated record. The transcript is spliced from 4 exons.